AUCUAUAAAGUUUCUUCCCAUUACUAAAGAAAUAAGGCAAAAAGGAAAAACUAUCAAAAGUCAGAACAACAACAUGAGAAGAAGAAUCUCAAGCAAGCCAAUGUCUUUACAACCUUGCUUUCUUCUUCUUCUUCUCUUUCUCUUCCUCCUUCAAGAUCUUUGUCUUGUUCGAGCUUCCUCGACGCAUUCUUGCAAUGGCUCCAUAGCUGAGUGUGGUAGCGAGGACGAGAUUUUGAUGGAGUCGGAGAUAAGCCGAAGGUUUCUCGCUCAACAAAAGAAAUACAUCUCCAUUGGAGCUUUGAAGAAGGAUCACCCAGCUUGCGACGGCGCUAGUGGUGGCCGACCUUACACCAAAAGUGGGAGUUGUGCUCCACCACCGGCUAAUCCUUACGAUCGAGGUUGCCCUAAGAUAUAUCGUUGUAGGUCUGAUGAUUGAGGGUUUGAUCAAACCAUUAUAUGCUUGAAGGUUUUUGAAAUCGAAGCCCAAGAACAUCAAGGAUAAUUACCAAGUCAAG
This is an RNA transcript of Cucumis melo (muskmelon), 515 nucleotides long. RefSeq lists it as uncharacterized. The record is from RefSeq and is a predicted model, not a curated record. The transcript has 2 exons. NCBI's taxonomy places the organism in Eukaryota, Viridiplantae, Streptophyta, Magnoliopsida, Cucurbitales, Cucurbitaceae.